UUCCGGGUUCGAGUCCCGGCGGAGUCGCC
Molecule: non-coding RNA, 29 nt
Filed under: Gallus gallus (chicken)
Lineage: Eukaryota; Metazoa; Chordata; Aves; Galliformes; Phasianidae
Also listed under: 6 other names
Source: RNAcentral